This 279-nucleotide ribosomal RNA is filed under the name uncultured bacterium. RNAcentral's name for it is "partial 16S ribosomal RNA". It matches the Rfam family "Bacterial small subunit ribosomal RNA", at positions 506 to 784 of the family's 1533-position model. The record is from RNAcentral.
UGCCAGCCGCCGCGGUAACACGGAGGCCCCGAGCGUUGUUCGGAUUUACUGGGCGUAAAGCGUGCGUAGGCGGUGAGGUAAGUCAGAUGUGAAAUCUUGGGGCUCAACCCCGAAACUGCAUCCGAUACUGCCUUACUAGAGGGCUGGAGAGGAAACUGGAAUUGGUGGUGUAGCAGUGAAAUGCGUGGAUAUCACCAGGAAGACCAAUGGCGAAGGCAGGUUUCGGGACAGCUCCUGACGCUGAGGCACGAAGGCAAGGGUAGCGAAAAGGAUUAGAUA